AGUGCCAUGGCGACCUACGUGCAGCUCAACACCACAGCCAAGAUGCCCCUUGUGGGGCUGGGCACCUGGAAGUCCUCAGCCGGGCAAGUAAAAGCUGCGGUGAUGGCUGCCAUCGAUGCUGGGUAUCGCCACUUUGACUGUGCCUACGUGUACCAGAAUGAGAGUGAAAUCGGGGAAGGGAUCCAGCAGAAAAUCAAGGAAGGCGUUGUGAAACGAGAGGACCUCUUCAUCGUCAGUAAGCUGUGGUGCACAUUUUACGACAAGCCUCUGGUGAAGGGAGCCUGCCAGAAGACUCUUGCUGACCUGAAGCUGGAUUACCUGGAUCUCUACCUCAUGCACUGGCCUCUUGGGCUCAAGGCAGGAGAGGAGCUGUUGCCCAAAGAUGACAAAGGCAUGCCUAUACCCAACAACACUGAUCUUCUACAGACAUGGGAAGCCAUGGAAGAGCUGGUGGACUGUGGUCUGGUGAAAGCCAUUGGAAUUUCCAACUUUAACCAUGAGCAGAUUGAAAGAAUCCUGAACAAACCAGGACUGAAGUACAAGCCUGCAUGUAACCAGGUCGAAUGUCAUCCAUACUUCACUCAGGAGAAGCUGAUCAAGUACUGUCAAUCCAAAGGCAUUGCUGUGACAGCGUACAGUCCCCUGGGCUCUCCUGACAGACCAUGGGCUAAACCAGAGGAUCCUUCCCUUCUGGACGACCCCAGGAUCAAAGAGAUUGCAGCCAAGCACAACAAAACCCCAGCACAGGUUCUCCUUCGCUUCCAGAUCCAGAGAAAUGUGAUUGUGAUACCCAAGUCUGUCACACCACAGCGCAUUGUGGAGAAUUUCAAGGUGUUUGACUUUGAAUUGACUAAAGAGGAAAUGACAACCAUUCUCAGCUUUAACAGAAGCUGGAGGAUCUGUGCAGUGCCCAUGUAAGUGACAUUGCUUGUUUCCUUCCAGCUCUUAAAUUUUGGACAUUCUUUACAUUUUGUGUUACAGCUACCAAGUAGCAUGAAAUUCAAUUUAACUAAAAAUCAUGCCAACUCAAAUUCCAACUG
This is an RNA transcript of Apaloderma vittatum (bar-tailed trogon), 1040 nucleotides long. It is a transcript of the gene named aldose reductase-like, with no coding region annotated. The record is from RefSeq and is a predicted model, not a curated record. The transcript is spliced from 9 exons. Lineage: Eukaryota; Metazoa; Chordata; Aves; Trogoniformes; Trogonidae.